RNAcentral lists this unclassified non-coding RNA (145 nucleotides) under uncultured Devriesia. RNAcentral describes it as "sequence contains ITS2". The record is from RNAcentral. Lineage: Eukaryota; Fungi; Ascomycota; Dothideomycetes; Mycosphaerellales; Teratosphaeriaceae.
ACACCCAUCAAGCCUGGCUUGGUAUUGGGCGACGGGACCUCCCCGCGCUCCGAUUUCGCCGGCUGGACGUAUCCCGAUCUUAAGCGCUGUAAUACACCUUCGCUGAAGAGACGGGCCGGACACGCCGUUAAACUUAUCAAUCAAG